UACGUAGGGGGCUAGCGUUGUCCGGAAUCAUUGGGCGUAAAGAGCGUGUAGGCGGUCCGGUAAGUCCGCUGUGAAAGUCGGGGGCUCAACCCUCGAAUGCCGGCGGAUACUGUCGGGCUAGAGUGCGGAAGAGGCGAGUGGAAUUCCUGGUGUAGCGGUGAAAUGCGCAGAUAUCAGGAGGAACACCAAUUGCGAAGGCAGCUCGCUGGGACGUUACUGACGCUGAGACGCGAAAGCGUGGGGAGCAAACAGG
Molecule: ribosomal RNA, 253 nt
Filed under: uncultured bacterium
Lineage: Bacteria
Description: partial 16S ribosomal RNA
Rfam family: Bacterial small subunit ribosomal RNA
Source: RNAcentral